RNAcentral lists this ribosomal RNA (498 nucleotides) under uncultured bacterium. RNAcentral describes it as "bacterial SSU rRNA". It matches the Rfam family "Bacterial small subunit ribosomal RNA", at positions 66 to 543 of the family's 1533-position model. The record is from RNAcentral.
ACGCGAAAGCCCCGCAAGGGGCAAGUAGAGUGGCAAACGGGUGAGUAACACGUGGGUGACCUGCCUUCGAGCGGGGGAUAACGUCCCGAAAGGGACGCUAAUACCGCAUAACAUCCUGCCUUUGAAGAGGUGGAGAUCAAAGCCGGGGAUCGCAAGACCCGGCACUCGGAGAGGGGCCCGCGCCUGAUUAGCUAGUUGGUGGGGUAACGGCCUACCAAGGCGACGAUCAGUAUCCGGCCUGAGAGGGCGGACGGACACACUGGGACUGAGACACGGCCCAGACUCCUACGGGAGGCAGCAGUGGGGAAUUGUUCGCAAUGGGCGCAAGCCUGACGACGCAACGCCGCGUGGAGGAUGAAGAUUUUCGGAUCGUAAACUCCUGUCGAAUGGGACGAAUAGAUUGCGGGUUAACAGCCCGUAGUCCUGACGGUACCGUUAAAGGAAACCCCGGCUAACUCCGUGCCAGCAGCCGCGGUAAUACGGGGGGGGUAAGCGUUG